GACGAACGCUGGCGGCGUGCUUUACACAUGCAAGUCGAACGGUGAAGGUGGAGCUUGCUCCGCCGGAUCAGUGGCGAACGGGUGAGUAACACGUGAGCAACCUGCCCCUAACUUUGGGAUAACUACUCGAAAGAGUAGCUAAUACCGGAUAUGAAGUCUGUAGGCAUCUACGGACUUGGAAAGUUUUUCGGUUAGGGAUGGGCCCGCGGCCUAUCAGCUUGUUGGUGAGGUAGUGGCUCACCAAGGCGACGACGGGUAGCCGGCCUGAGAGGGCGACCGGCCACACUGGGACUGAGACACGGCCCAGACUCCUACGGGAGGCAGCAGUGGGGAAUAUUGCGCAAUGGGCGAAAGCCUGACGCAGCAACGCCGCGUGCGGGAUGAAGGCCUUCGGGUUGUAAACCGCUUUCAGCAGGGAAGAAGCGAAAGUGACGGUACCUGCAGAAGAAGCACCGGCUAACUACGUGCCAGCCGCCGCGGUAA
Molecule: ribosomal RNA, 483 nt
Filed under: uncultured bacterium
Lineage: Bacteria
Description: partial 16S ribosomal RNA
Rfam family: Bacterial small subunit ribosomal RNA
Source: RNAcentral